RNAcentral lists this ribosomal RNA (531 nucleotides) under Staphylococcus aureus. RNAcentral describes it as "partial 23S ribosomal RNA". It matches the Rfam family "Bacterial large subunit ribosomal RNA", at positions 2320 to 2852 of the family's 2925-position model. The record is from RNAcentral. Lineage: Bacteria; Bacillati; Bacillota; Bacilli; Caryophanales; Staphylococcaceae.
CCUCAGAAUGGUUGGAAAUCAUUCAUAGAGUGUAAAGGCAUAAGGGAGCUUGACUGCGAGACCUACAAGUCGAGCAGGGUCGAAAGACGGACUUAGUGAUCCGGUGGUUCCGCAUGGAAGGGCCAUCGCUCAACGGAUAAAAGCUACCCCGGGGAUAACAGGCUUAUCUCCCCCAAGAGUUCACAUCGACGGGGAGGUUUGGCACCUCGAUGUCGGCUCAUCGCAUCCUGGGGCUGUAGUCGGUCCCAAGGGUUGGGCUGUUCGCCCAUUAAAGCGGUACGCGAGCUGGGUUCAGAACGUCGUGAGACAGUUCGGUCCCUAUCCGUCGUGGGCGUAGGAAAUUUGAGAGGAGCUGUCCUUAGUACGAGAGGACCGGGAUGGACAUACCUCUGGUGUACCAGUUGUCGUGCCAACGGCAUAGCUGGGUAGCUAUGUGUGGACGGGAUAAGUGCUGAAAGCAUCUAAGCAUGAAGCCCCCCUCAAGAUGAGAUUUCCCAACUUCGGUUAUAAGAUCCCUCAAAGAUGAUGAGG